This is a non-coding RNA of Macaca mulatta (Rhesus monkey), 2468 nucleotides long. NCBI's taxonomy places the organism in Eukaryota, Metazoa, Chordata, Mammalia, Primates, Cercopithecidae. The record is from RefSeq and is a predicted model, not a curated record.
GGGCCGGCGCCGCCGGGGUCUGGGGUGGUCCCGCGAGUCUGCAUGUUGCUCCGGGACGCAGGGGCUGCGCCCAGAAACAUUAUUUUUCUUCUCCGGGAGGGUGAUCGUUUACAGCAUUGAUUUCCCAGAUCUGGUAACAUGGCAAAAGUUGCCGGUCUAAUUGAAGCCAACGGAGAACUCAAGGUCUUCAUAGAUCAGAACCUUAGUCCGGGAAAAGGCGUUGGUGUCCCUUGUGACAGUUCACUCCUCCAUUGUCAACCCGCUCGGGAAGCAGCUCUUGCCGAAAACCUUUGUACAGUUCAAUGUCAACAUUGCCCAGCAAGUGGUAACCGGUACACCUCAGAAACCGGCAGCGUCAAAUAUCCUCGUGGUAGGAAGCCCACACACAGCCAGCACUCACUUUACCUCUCAGAACCAGCCGUGGUUGGUCUGCCGCGAAGCGCAACAGGAAAGGAGAAAAGAAUAGCAAGGCCUGUGGCAUUUCUCCAUGAAGGUCUGAGACAAGGUGCAGUGGAAAGGGACCACUUCCUACCACGAAGUGGUGGAAGAGCUGGUCGCAGAGUUCAGUGCUGCCGGCAACCAGAUCUUACCAAGUGAGUCAGCUUAUGACCAGAAUAAGACGGCGCAUCUAUGAUGCCUUAAACGUGCUGAUGGCCAUGAACAUCAUCUCCAAGGAGAAAAAGGAGAUCAAGUGGGUUGGUCUGCCCACCAACUCGACUCAGGAAUGUCAGAACUUAGAGGUGGAAAGACGGAGGAGACUUGACAGAAUAAAACAGAAAAUCUCAAUUUCAGGUUUUUUAUUCGACAGCAAAUUGCCUUCAAGAAUCUGGUGAAGAGAGAAACCAGCAAGAGGAGCAGCAGGCCAGCCGGCCAAGGACGCCCAGCUCGCUCAUCCACCUGCCCUCAUCAUCAUUAACACCAGCAAGAAGACCGUCAUCGACUGCAACAUCUCCAACGACAAACUCGAGUAUCUGUUUAAAUUUGACAACACAUCUGAAAUAUAGGAUGACAUAGAAGUGCUGAAGCGGAUGAGCACGGCUUGUGGGCUGGAGUCCGGAAGCUGCUCUGCCGAAGACCUUAAAAUGGCCAGAAGUCUGGUCUCAGAGGCCCUGGAGCUGUACGUGACAGAAAUGGCUCAGGGAACUAACUGUUGGAGGCGUGUUCAUCACGACGGCACGUUCCAUGUCUAACGGCACGAAACUCUCUGCCAGUGACCUGACCAACGGUGCAGAUGGGAUGCUGGCCACAAGCUCCAACCUCAGUACGGUGUCCUGCGUCCGGGAGAAUGACGAGGAUGACGACUUCAACGAGAACAACGAGGAUGACUGACGUCCUCUCCACUUCACAUUCAGCUUCAAGAAAACGUUUAGGGAAAAGAAACUUUUUUUUUUUAAUGUGGGUUUUCUGUUUCCUUUUGGCCUACUCCUAAGAAGAUAUUGGUAAGCCGUUGAAUUUAGAUAUGCACCUCCGAUAAGCAAGGAUUGUUUCACGUAGGAGUAAGACAUGCUGUGGAUGUGUGUUUUGAUACCAGUGUGCUGAUGAGGGGCAUUUAUUUACUUUUUAGGAUUUUGUGUUUUUUCAUUUUCUGUUUUUCUUUAAGUGCAGACUUAUUUUUUGCCCCUUAACGGUUUUUGCUGAGUUUGCUGAAGAAAUUGUAUUUCAUCCUCAUACAUGAAAAUAAAACGCCCUCCUGUUGUGGAUGGUGAGCACCGAAUGCCAUUUAUUUGCCGUGAGUCUGGACAGCACCCACGCUGGCAGAGAGUGAGACUCUGCGGAGUUGUCCAUUUGUUCAGUGGCACGGUGUCCAAGAGCCCCAAGCAAACAGCAGAAUUCGACUUUCUAAACAAUAAACACCAUCAACCUUACUGACUUUAUUCUCCCUUAAAUUAUAUUGACUGUUGUGAUUCCAUCAAGUUUAUACACUCUUUUCUCUCCCUAUUUUGCAGCAACAAAUUGCAAAGUGUUUUUGUUUGUUUUUGUUUUGUUUGGUUAAAGCUUAUUGCCACGCUGGUGCGGCUAUGGAGACUGUCUAGCAGGCUUGGAAGACUUGGAAUGGUUUAUUGCUUAUGGUAAAAUUUGCCUGAUUUCUUACAGGCAGCGUUUGAAACCCUUUUAUUAUAUAGUUGUUUACAUACUUACAAGUCUAUCAUUUAAAGACACGUACUGAAACAAAUGUUGUGUUUGUUUCAUAAGCAUCUUCUGUAAUCUAUUAUAAAAUUGAAAUUAAAUAUAGGGAAUGUUUUAACAAUUUUUAACUCAAAAUAUGCCAGUCAUUUUUAAUAGUUCUUUUUUUAUAUAAAAAGACAAAUUUAAGGACAGGCAGUAGUCUCUUAAAAUUUAUUCACAAAACCCAUUAACUGCACAUUAGCUACCUGUUCUAGAAUGAGUCUUUUUAUUGAAACACAAACUUUUCUGCGAUAUUUUAUGGAAUAAAAAAAGACUUUCAUUGUUUGACUUGUUUAACUUGA